RNAcentral lists this ribosomal RNA (524 nucleotides) under uncultured bacterium. RNAcentral's name for it is "partial 16S ribosomal RNA". It matches the Rfam family "Bacterial small subunit ribosomal RNA", at positions 28 to 523 of the family's 1533-position model. The record is from RNAcentral.
GACGAACGCUGGCGGCGUGCCUAAUACAUGCAAGUCGAACGAAGCUGUUUUAACUGGUGCUUGCACCGACUUAAACAACUGAGUGGCGAACGGGUGAGUAACACGUGGGUAACCUGCCCCAAAGCGGGGGAUAACAUUUGGAAACAGAUACUAAUACCGCAUAAUCACAGAAACCACAUGGUUUCUGUGUCAAAGAUGAUUUCGGCUACAAUUUUGGGAUGGCCCCGCGGCGUAUUAGCUAGUUGGUAAGGUAAUGGCUUACCAAGGCAAUGAUACGUAGCCGAACUGAGAGGUUGAUCGGCCACAUUGGGACUGAGACACGGCCCAAACUCCUACGGGAGGCAGCAGUAGGGAAUCUUCCACAAUGGACGAAAGUCUGAUGGAGCAACGCCGCGUGAGUGAAGAAGGUUUUCGGAUCGUAAAACUCUGUUGUCAGAGAAGAACGUGUGCGAGAGUAACUGUUCGUGCAGUGACGGUAUCUGGCCAGAAAGCCACGGCUAACUACGUGCCAGCAGCCGCAGUAA